CAGCCGCCGCGGUAAUACGAAGGGUGCAAGCGUUACUCGGAAUUACUGGGCGUAAAGCGUGCGUAGGUGGUGGUUUAAGUCCGUUGUGAAAGCCCUGGGCUCAACCUGGGAAUUGCAGUGGAUACUGGGUCACUAGAGUGUGGUAGAGGAUAGUGGAAUUUCCGGUGUAGCAGUGAAAUGCGUAGAGAUCGGAAGGAACAUCUGUGGCGAAGGCGACUAUCUGGGCCAACACUGACACUGAGGCACGAAAGCGUGGGGAGCAAACAGGAUUAGAUACCCCAGAAGUCCCUGUCUCUUAUAC
This 301-nucleotide ribosomal RNA is filed under the name uncultured bacterium. RNAcentral's name for it is "partial 16S ribosomal RNA". It matches the Rfam family "Bacterial small subunit ribosomal RNA", at positions 509 to 807 of the family's 1533-position model. The record is from RNAcentral.